This 286-nucleotide long non-coding RNA is filed under the name Brassica rapa (field mustard). Its description in RNAcentral is "long non-coding RNA (BRAP_LNC002284)". The record is from RNAcentral. Lineage: Eukaryota; Viridiplantae; Streptophyta; Magnoliopsida; Brassicales; Brassicaceae.
UUACAUUUUUUUCUUUUGUGUUUGACAUUAUAACAUAGUUUUAUGUUCCACUUUUCUUGAUUCUGCUAUAAGUCUUUUCCAUUACGGAUACGGUACAUAUGUUAUUAUAUAUAUUUUUUUAUUUGUAGCUUUUGUUUUAGGUAUCAAAAUUGCUCAUCUACACGCUUUUUUUAUAUAAUUUCCUUAGUAUAUAUUAUUUUCGUGGUCAACUGUAUACACAUUCAAAACCAAAUCUAGAAUCUGUAUAGGUUUUUUUAAUAUUUGUAUUGUACGUACUGAGAUUUUC